GCAAAAGAAGUAGGUAGCUUAACCUUCGGGGGGGCGCUUACCAAUUUGUGAUUCAUGACUGGGGUGAAGUCGUAACAAGGUAACCGUAGGGGAACCUGCGGUUGGAUCACCUCCUUACCUUAAAGAAGC
Molecule: ribosomal RNA, 129 nt
Filed under: Salmonella enterica subsp. enterica serovar Montevideo
Lineage: Bacteria; Pseudomonadati; Pseudomonadota; Gammaproteobacteria; Enterobacterales; Enterobacteriaceae
Description: partial 16S ribosomal RNA
Rfam family: Bacterial small subunit ribosomal RNA
Source: RNAcentral